CGGCGGCCGGACCCGUCGCCCCGCCUCCUCCCUCGGGCGGUUCCGGCCGCGCCUCCGCUGGAUCCGGUCGUUGCCGACGCCUCGAGCCCACCGCGCCCUCCGGCUCCCUCCGGCACUCCCCCCCCUCCUCACGCCCUCCGGCGGCCGGAUCCAUCGCCCCGCCGCCUCCCGUGGCCAGUCAACAGCAGCCGCCUCCGCUAGCUCGCUAGCAGCCCCCUCUGGUCGCCAUCAGCCGCCGCAAGCAGCCAGAACCAAGCCACUGCCACACGGUUUAGGGCCUGUUUGGUUUGGUGCUUUUCUGGUGCAAUGAGCAAGGAAAGAUCAGAGGGUAAUAAAAUCUGGAAGCAGAUUGUGGAUUGGAAAUAUGAUACUUACAGCCCUAAUAAUUUUCAUAGCUCAGAUUAUCAAGCUGCAAAGCUGGGUAGUAAGUGGCUGAAAGGAAAUGGAAGAAAAAAUAUAUAUAUUCGGCUGAUACUUGGAUGGGCCCUUGCAACUUAGCUCCACCUUUCCGGGACCUGAUUGUUAUCACUGACGAACCACAUCUCUUAAACUGAGGUAUCGGAUUGCAACAA
Long non-coding RNA from Brachypodium distachyon (stiff brome), 572 nucleotides. RefSeq lists it as uncharacterized. NCBI's taxonomy places the organism in Eukaryota, Viridiplantae, Streptophyta, Magnoliopsida, Poales, Poaceae. The transcript has 2 exons. The record is from RefSeq and is a predicted model, not a curated record.